Corythoichthys intestinalis (scribbled pipefish) is the source of this 923-nucleotide long non-coding RNA. RefSeq lists it as uncharacterized. NCBI's taxonomy places the organism in Eukaryota, Metazoa, Chordata, Actinopteri, Syngnathiformes, Syngnathidae. The record is from RefSeq and is a predicted model, not a curated record. The transcript is spliced from 3 exons.
AUGAGUUGGCUGUUUACGGCGUCCAUAAAUAUUAUUGCAUUAUUUAUGUGUAACCAUCGUUUAAAACUAAGCAUCUAGUGUUCACUUGCAAAAAUGAGAGAUGGAUUGUGUCCAUUCCGCACCUGUUGGGGAAGCAAACAGCUGACAUACUCACUUUUGAAAGGGCGAUAAUUAAGGUUGCCAUCUCGUCUUCAACUGCUGGUUGCUCAGAAUAACGAGUCCCUUCUCCGGAUUCGGGAUGAUCCCGGCGACGAUGUCCCUCACUGGCUGGAUAUUUGGCCCUCAGCACUGCUCAGACACGAUGAAGCCCUCCUUCUCGUGGCCCGCCGGCUCCACCUCUGCGUAAGACGGGUGACCCGAUCCGCGGCGAAACUUCAUGGCCGGCCAUCUGCUCGGCCGUCUCUGAGGACACAUGUCCUACGUAACGUCCAACAGUGGCAUAUGGCUCACCUCGAUCAGGAAUAAACUGGCAGCUGACGUCGGGUGAUGGUAGAUGUAGACCGUAAUCAUUACGCCCGCCACCAUGAUGAGCAUCACGAGCAGAACGCCUAGGAUCAAACCCGUGUGUAGAGGAUGCGCGCCCGUCGUCCGGUCCGCCGCGCUGUCUGCCGGCAUCACUACAAACAUAAAUGAGGAUUCAUUACAACCUUAAUGCAGGUCAGUGCAUAUUAUUUGCUUUAUACAAAUACUGCUAUUAGUAUUGCACUAGAUUGCAGUGUUACUAAUGUAAAAAAACAACACAAAAAACAAAGCAGUAUUAAGUAUAGGAUAACUAAGCAUAUGUAUUUUUUGUGCUAAAAUAAAAUAUUACGUGAAACCAGUCGAAUACAAUCCUAUACAUUAUGCAAAUUAUUUUCCUGCAGAUGUGAAAUAAUGUAUGAAACGGUCCCAUUAAGUAUUUUUAAUUUUAAAAUAAAAUCUGA